RNAcentral lists this long non-coding RNA (495 nucleotides) under Lupinus angustifolius (narrow-leaved blue lupine). RNAcentral describes it as "long non-coding RNA (LANG_LNC002349)". The record is from RNAcentral. Lineage: Eukaryota; Viridiplantae; Streptophyta; Magnoliopsida; Fabales; Fabaceae.
UAUUUAAAACAGAACACACAUUAAUACAUGCCAAUAAGAACAUACAUGCAUAAAUGACUGACUUAAAAAGAGAACACAUAAGAAGAAAGUGGUAGACAAAAGACAAAGACACAACCAUACAACAACAGCAACAACAUAUUGAUCUAUGUAAGAGUGGUAAAGAAAUGCAUCAAACAUGAGAAAAGGUAGCUAAUCUAUAAAAGACUCUGAUGAAAAGGUGGGGUGUACUACUACAUAAUUGUUGUUCUUCUUCUUCUUCUUGGUGCCUUUGUUAGCAGCUAUGGAUGGAUCAACAACUCUUUCCCAUAUCAUUUGCUUCACUGAUCUUCUCUUUGGAGGGAUCACACUCCCAUUUUUCUUGGGUUUGUGCAACACAUGUUUUUCCUCAAUACCCUUUGCUUUUAUCUCUGCCUCCAUAUAUGCUUUGUAUCUAUAGUUUCUUCACUUGGUCACAAAAGCCUACUUCACUCUCAUCUCUCAAUGACUCUGCCUCUU